AGGAUCCUGUGAACGGACACGCUGUGACCAUGCCAACCACACGGAUGAAUCACACAAACACUGCCAGGUUGGCUGAAAGAAGCCAGAUGGGAGAGAAUACACAACACGUGAUUCUGUUUAUCAAGUUCAGGAAGAGGCAAAACUAAACCGUGUUGUGGAGGAAGCACACACUCGUGGAAAGAGAGGAGCGGAGGUGCCACUCCGCCAGCCCCUGAGUCCCUCCAGCCUGUGCCAGCCGCCACCUUAAUUCCCACGCCCUCAACCACUGGACCACUCGGCUCAGGGUCUACUGCCAGUGAGCGCAGAGGCGGUCUGAACCCAGCCCACAGCGUUUCCAGUGGGAACAGGAAAGCGGGAUGAAGCCCUGUGGGGAAGCACACAGAGCUGGGCCUGGGGCAGAGGUGUGAAAGGGAAAGGGGCGGCCUUUCUGCUGGAGGAGGUGGGCAGGCUGCCUCCUCUCCCGCUCUGCUUGCCCCUCUUCCUCCUUCCUGUCUGGGUCAGCCUAGGAGCUGCCCUGGGCCCUGACAUUGCCAGUUUAACUCCUGGCUUCACCUCUUUACCAGCCUGAGCUUCCACUUCCCACGUAUAAAAG
This 592-nucleotide long non-coding RNA is filed under the name Heterocephalus glaber (naked mole-rat). Its description in RNAcentral is "lncRNA (ENSHGLG00100052033.1)". The record is from RNAcentral. Lineage: Eukaryota; Metazoa; Chordata; Mammalia; Rodentia; Bathyergidae.